This 73-nucleotide transfer RNA is filed under the name Stegodyphus mimosarum. It matches the Rfam family "tRNA". From Rfam's summary of the family: Transfer RNA (tRNA) molecules are approximately 80 nucleotides in length. Their secondary structure includes four short double-helical elements and three loops (D, anti-codon, and T loops). Lineage: Eukaryota; Metazoa; Arthropoda; Arachnida; Araneae; Eresidae. The record is from Rfam by way of RNAcentral.
GCCUUUGUGGUGUAAUGGUCAACAAACUCUGCUCGUAUUCGAGAGGUCCGAGGUUCGAGUCCUAAUGAGGGCA